GACGAACGCUGGCGGCGCGCUUAACACAUGCAAGUCGAGCGAAGCGGCGGACGGGUGAGUAACACGUGAGUAACCUGCCUUAGACAUUGAGAUAGCCUCUGUAAACCGGGAUUAAUCCCAACUGGUCUAAGAUGGACUCGCGUCCCAUUAGCUAGUUGGUGAGGUAACGGCCCACCAAGGCGACGAUGGGUAGCCGGCGUGAGAGGGGGAACGGCCACAUGGGAACCGAGAAACGGACCAAACACUGCGGGAGGCAGCAGUGGGGAAUAUUGCACAAUGGAGGGAACUGUGAUGCAGCGACACCGCGUGAACGAAGAAGGCUUUCGAGUCGUAAAGUUCUUUUAUAUGGGAAGCGGUACCAUAAGAAAAAGCCCCGGCUAACUACGUGCCAGCAGCCGCGGUAAUUC
This 407-nucleotide ribosomal RNA is filed under the name uncultured bacterium. Its description in RNAcentral is "partial 16S ribosomal RNA". It matches the Rfam family "Bacterial small subunit ribosomal RNA", at positions 28 to 526 of the family's 1533-position model. The record is from RNAcentral.